Molecule: ribosomal RNA, 575 nt
Filed under: uncultured bacterium
Lineage: Bacteria
Description: bacterial SSU rRNA
Rfam family: Bacterial small subunit ribosomal RNA
Source: RNAcentral
GUUAGUGGCGGACGGGUGAGUAACGCGUGAGAAUCUGCCCUCAGGAGGGGGAUAACAGUUGGAAACGACUGCUAAUACCCCAUAUGCCGAGAGGUGAAACGAAUUUUGCCUGGGGAUGAGCUCGCGUCUGAUUAGCUUGUUGGUGGGGUAAAAGCCUACCAAGGCUUCGAUCAGUAGCUGGUCUGAGAGGACGAUCAGCCACACUGGGACUGAGAUACGGCCCAGACUCCUACGGGAGGCAGCAGUGGGGAAUUUUCCGCAAUGGGCGCAAGCCUGACGGAGCAAUCGCCGCGUGAGGGAUGAAGGCCUUUGGGCUGUAAGACCUCUUUUCUCAAGGAAGAAGAUCUGACGGUACUUGAGGAAUAAGCCACGGCUAAUUCCGUGCCAGCAGCCGCGGUAAUACGGGAGUGGCAAGCGUUAUCCGGAAUUAUUGGGCGUAAAGCGUCCGCAGGCGGCCGUUUAAGUCUGUUGUUAAAAUCGUGGAAGCUCAACCUCCAUCACGGCAAUGGAAACUGUUCGGCUUGAGUUAUGGUUAAGGGGCAGAGGGAAUUUCCCGGUGUAGCGGUGAAAUGGCG